UUCAUGAAAUCUGGGAUAAAAGCUUUUAUUUUAUGGUUAGUACUAAUUGAGUAGUUACGGGAUUAAACGUAGAUGGCCAAUAAAAAUAAACUGUGGUAGAAUCUUAUUUACUUCGCUGAAAUAAUAUUAGUGCAUUUAGAAACAAGAUGACUUUUUAGAUUUCGGGUUGAAUAAUCUCUGGGUCAGUAAACUCGACCAUUUCAUUUCCAAGUCGGCAGGACUGAAGUCAGUCUCGGUGAUUCAGCUCCAUUUUCUUAUACUAAAGUUCUCGGUGAAGAUAAUCACGAGAGGCGAACACUCAGUCCUCGUGCUUUUUAACAAAUUUUUGAAAGCGUCCAACGGGCGCUUUUUUUUGCACGGGCAAAGCCCGUUUUUUUAUUCCGCCAUUUCGAUUCGGCUACCACGAUCCGAGGAUCGACGCUCGACCAGGCCCGCCAGUUCCUGGCAGUUAAACGGGACGAGAAGAAAAUCUGGCCUGCUUGCGUUCGUUCGCGUUCGAUCUAGCAGCGUACCAGUUUGCCGACGCCUCCCCCGCACCUUUAUAUCGGCCGUUGGUGAAAUCGAGCUACCCCUGUAGACGCUUGUGAACAGCGUAGCGAUGCAUCCCAGGUGGUGACGACCGGCCCUGCUUAACCGUCCCGAGAUUUUUUUUCAUCGCACGCCACCGGCGUGUCCCUCGGUAGACGAACCGGUCAGCAUAACCGCAAAUCAAACCCUCCGCAGGUAUGUUUAAUUCCUGGCCAUCACAACACUACAACACUUACACAUACACACGUUCAUUGAUUAACGAAAAAAGAAAUGAAUACAUAAAAAUGAAUCUAAACUGAGUUACCUAGUUCUAUUCAUUCAACCAAAGCUAAGCCUUGAGGGUCUGUAGUCCGCCCGGGUGAUCAUACUUUACGUUACGUUUCCGAUACUUUUACCGCUCACGCUCUGCUUUUGAUUCACCUUUGAUCAGUCUACCUCAGUCGAUUUGAAUUUUGCAGCCAUCGUUAAGCGUUUAAUUACCUAACAACCGUUCAUAACACCUGAGAGAAUUGCACUCAUGCUUCCAGCAGCUUAGUCGGGCAAAUUAAUAAAACACGAGCAGUGGUCUCUCCGAAACGAGAGUGGCGCUUAAAUCACUGGUUUGCGACAAUUUUCUUGGCGAAAUCGAGAACG
Molecule: long non-coding RNA, 1161 nt
Organism: Armigeres subalbatus
Lineage: Eukaryota; Metazoa; Arthropoda; Insecta; Diptera; Culicidae
Exons: 3
Source: RefSeq, a predicted model, not a curated record